GGGAGAAGCAGGCUCCACGCACUGGGAGCCCGACGUGGGAUUCGAUCCCGGGUCUCCAGGAUCGCGCCCUGGGCCAAAGGCAGGCGCCAAACCGCUGCGCCACCCAGGGAUCCCCUCCAUCAAAGAUCUUGAUGGGAAGACUUAGAAAGGCUGUUAAUGCAAUGACCAACAAAAUAUGAAAAUAAAGACAAACAUGUAGCAUCUCUGAAAACGAGGAAAGGUCCAUGAAAAGGUCAAGACUGGAGACCAUGGUUAAAGGUUGACUCACCAAUUCACUACAAGAAAAUGAAUCUGUAUUCUCAGGAUGAAAAUGAGCAGGGACGGUGAAGAAUGGAAGAGAAGUUCUGGCUGAAUAGAAGAGAACUGAUUGCCUUUCAAUUCCCAGUGUUAGUGGCCUUGGAGUUUGCUCUUCAUCUGCCGGAGCAUGAAGCCAUGCCCCAUUACAGACGUCUGAUCCAGAGCUUCUAGCACAGGCCCCAAGGAGGGGUUAGGGACCACUUCCUCUGAGCUUGUGGAAUUAGCACUUACUACUGGAAAUGCAGAAACAGAACUCAGCAUACCAACCUGUUUUCCUCUCAACAUGUUUUUGUGUAGAAGCAGUACUGGAAACUUUUCAGGAGUCCCGGUCUGGUUAGCCAGCAUGAGCUGUGAGCGGGUGAUUACGCAGCAGCCGAAGGGGAGACCUGUGCAGGAGGUGGUCAAGGGCCUUUCGGCUUUCACCUGACUGGCAUUCCCAGCUGUUCCCGCCCUGGUGUUCUUCUGGGUGCACACAGACCUCCCAAGCAUGGUCCAUGGUCUCCCCUCCAGUCUUGGCCCCACGCAAGAGAGCAGAGUUCUAAAGCAGAAGGGAAGAGAACUUCAGUGGCUGGGGGAAGCUUUUAAAGGAUACCCUUACUGUGUCAAAAAAAAAAAAAAAAAAAAAAAAAAAAAAAAAAAAAAGAAUACUAUCAACAUUGACUAAUAAGAGAAAAUGAGAUAUAGAGACAAAGAUAAAACACAGGGAUAGUGAAGAAACACAGUACUGCUUGUACUUCCUUUUUAUUGAUUUGAAUCAACCAUUUUUGAAAGUAUCAAUUCUCACUCCUCUUUAUCUGUGACUUGAAUCACAUUUCUUAGACCGAUUGAUUUCUUAUUGUUCACCUAGGAUAGGUUUUUCCCCCCCUCAAUCUUUUUUUGUUUUUUUCUCUGUUCUUUAGUUGGGAUAUUUUUUACUGAUUUGUCUUAAAUUUCAUUAACCCUUUUAUUCUUUUAUAUUCCAACUCUUUGUAAGCUAACCAUAUAGAUUUUUUUAUUUCAUACAUUGUAUUGUUCACCUCUGGAACUUUAUAUUGCUAUUUCUGUAUAUUUAUAGUCUGUCUUCUGAAAGACUUCAUCUGUUCAUUUAUUCUAUUAAUAUAUUUCUUUAAAUUCUUAAUCAUAUUUAUAAUAGUGAUCUUAAAGUCCUUAUGUGAUGAUUAUAAUACCUACAUCAUCUCAAGAUUUCUAUUGACUACUUUUUAUCUAAUUAUGUUUUUUAUUUUUCUAGGUCUUUGCGGGUACAAUAAUUUUAGAUUAUAAGGUGAACAUUGUGGAUGAUCGAUUGUAAGGAUUCUUGAUAAUACUAGUUUCUUCUUAAAAACAUUGAAUUUUGUCCUGGCAGGCAGUCAAUUUACUAGAUCUUGAAUCUGUCACUUUUAGUUUUAUGUUUUGUUUAAACUUUAUGUUUUGUUUUGUUUCUAUUUCAUCUUUAAUCUCAGGGUGUGGCCUUAUUUCUAGUACUUGAUCUUUACUUCUGUAUUUUCCUUUUCUGGGGUCCCAGUUGAAUGCCUGAAGGGUUCAAUGAGAUUUCUUUACUCUGACACAGCUAGUACUCCAAUAUAUCCCAGCACUGCAAAACUUCCAGUGUCUUCUCUUUUCAUCUCUUAACUUUGAAGCAGCUUUUUCUAUUAGGCUUUUUGAAAUCUUUCUCUGUAGGUGUACAGCUUAGACCUUGGUUAAAGACUCAAGAGUAAUCUCCAUGACUUCUAGGUCUCACAUCUGUGUAUCUCCUGGAUCUCAUUUUUUUAAACUCUGUCUUAAAAACUCUACUUCUUUUAAGUGCCCAGAAGCCCAACUUCUGCCUCAUUAGCUUAGCAAGACUGCUUCUCUGCUUUGGCUCCAAUGUCUCUUAGUUUUGAUAGAUGUGUGUUUCUAGGCAGAAAGCCUAAGUGAUUAUAGUGUUUAUCUCACUUUGUUUCCCUUCUUUCAAGUUCGAUCUUGCCUAUUGUGCAAUGACUAGAAACUAUUGUCUUGUAUGUCUUGUUAAGCUCAUAGUCACAUAGAAUGUGUGUAUGUAUGAGGUAAAUUAAAUAUCGGUUUUCCUAUCAUUUAAAAGAAAAGUUGAUGAGAUUUUAAAAGAAAAACAAGAAGAUGUAGAGUGUUACAAUUCAUGAUAUUAAAACACAUUAUAAUAUUACAAUAUUUUUUUAAAAGGCUGUAAUGACUCCAGGAUAGACAUAUUAUGUUGAGCAGUGAUGUGUACUAUACUCCUAUAAACUUUCAAUACUGUAUUCAACAAUGUUGUAUUAUCACACAUCUAGUAUAUACCCUAUUUCUUGUACACUCAUUAUGUUGAUUUGUAUCAUUUUUUUUAUUGCUUCUUCCAAGAGUGUUCUCAUUGUGGCCUUAUAUCUGGCAAAAUAUCUAAGACUUUAUAUGCCUAAGGACAUAAAGUUCUUCUUUUUCAGUAUUUUAAAUAUACUACUCCUCUGUCCUUUUGCCUUCAGUGGUGCUGUUGAGAGAUUAGACAUUAAUCUUUUGUUUGUGGGUGAUCUACUCUUUUCCUUUACAUAGUUUUAUUAUUUUAAUAUUGUAUUUGUUAUUCUUAAGUUCCAUGAUCACUGAGAUGUAAUUCCCCUAAUGUUUGUGGAUUUUAUUUUCCCCCACUGGCCUGCUAGUGUCUUUUGUUUGUUUGUUUGUUUGUUUGUUAGUGUCUUGCUAAAGUACAUAGAGUAGUGGCUUCUUCUUGCUCACCAGGUCCAAUUAUCAUCAAUGUUUUGGACCAGUAUGAUGGAAGAAGUGAGGGAAGAAAAAGAUGAUCAAGUUCUUUCCCUGUGAUCUAUGUUAUGAUGUAAGUCUGAUGAGUUUAUACACGCCUUUGGUAAGACUAUGAAGACUUUUCAAUUCAGAUGGUCUUUAUAAAUCAUUAGAGCAAGAACGAAAAAGCCUUGACCUGAUCAAUAGUUGCAUACGAGGUGUCAGGGGAUGUACUGACUUGUUUAAGCAAUGAAACCACAUCUAGAACUGCAGCUAUAAUUUGAGUCACCACCACCUGAUUGCACUUAUGGUAAUUCACUUUUAUUCUCAGAGUAAUCUAAUUUCUGCACAGGCCAAAUAGGCUGAAUUGGAAUGUGGUAGGAAGGAAUUUAAUACUAAAUGUUGGCAAAAAUGGAAGAUGGGGUGCUUUAUGAAUAUUUGGGCAUAUAUACUUGCACAGAAAUUUGGGAAACCAAUCUAUUAGUAUGUAGUAAAACUGCCCUCUGAUCCAAAAGCAUACAUCUAUCUAUCUAUCUAUCUAUCUAUCUAUCUAUCUAUCUAUCUAUAUUGAUAUAUAUAUGUAUGUAUUGAUAUGUAUAUAAGAUGGAAGAAGAAAGUCCUUGAAUACAGUAUGCUAGCAUUUUCAUUUUUAUUGUUAAAUCUGUGCAAAUUGAAUGAAAAUGUAUACCACAGUAUUAAAAAUGGUUACCUCAAGUUAAAGGAAUUAAUAAUUGUAAAUUCUAGAUUUUUUUCUUAUUUUUGCUUUGACAACAUAUUUUUAAGUAAUAGAUAACUAGGAAAACUGUCCUAAUAUGAUGUAAAAUAAGAAAGCAGUAUGCAAACCGUAUGUAUAAAAUAUGCAUGUAAUAAAGGAAAAUGGAAAUAUGCCAAA
This is a long non-coding RNA of Canis lupus familiaris (dog), 3886 nucleotides long. RefSeq lists it as uncharacterized. The transcript is spliced from 2 exons. NCBI's taxonomy places the organism in Eukaryota, Metazoa, Chordata, Mammalia, Carnivora, Canidae. The record is from RefSeq and is a predicted model, not a curated record.